Long non-coding RNA from Salvelinus fontinalis (brook trout), 1673 nucleotides. RefSeq lists it as uncharacterized. NCBI's taxonomy places the organism in Eukaryota, Metazoa, Chordata, Actinopteri, Salmoniformes, Salmonidae. The transcript is spliced from 2 exons. The record is from RefSeq and is a predicted model, not a curated record.
CAUCGGAAGUUAAGACCAGGUUCAGCCUUUGUUCUCCCUCUUACGUCUGGGUUUCACAAGAGAAGGUCACGGUUGGCUUGUGGGUUAUCUUUCAUUUAUUUGGCGUGGGCUUCGGCCAAACAGUAGCCUGUGUAAAGUUAGGUUAAUAAACCGUCAAUUCGUAAACUCAAACCUCCGUCUGGACAAUUGUUCCUUUAAGAUCUAGUCAGGUCAUUACAUUGGUGUCAGAAGUAAAAACGUUGAUAAAAGUUAGCCAGCUAGCUAGCUGACUUCUGUGGCUAGCUACCGUAGGUGAGAACGGGGUUGAAAAUGCUUCGAGGGAAUCCGAAAGUGAAGGUGGAGGUAGGGGACGAUUAUGGCCAAGGGGGGGGGUGAAUGGACGUCGGAGGGUCUGGCUGAGGAGAUCGCCAAGGAGUCGGAGCCCAGAGGCCGCUUGAGGGAGGACAUUAGAGUGAUGGCGGCUGAAGCGGGCACGAGCGCUUCGUCGACUGUGCUUCGCGCCGAUUCUGGUGGGCGGACCGAAGGGGUGACGUCGACGCGGCGGGACUAGGAAUCUGGGGCUCAGGAUGUAAACAAACAUGGCGGCGCCCAGUUCCCGGCUGCGUCCGUAGCUGUUAAGACCCCGAAGUAUUCCGGUGAGGCGGAUUGGGAAGCUUUUCAUGCUCAGUUUGAACUGUUAACUCAUUUUAGUGGCUACUGGCAGGUGCCCCUCUCCCCAGAGGCCAGAGACAAAACUGUUCUCCACUAACAGAGGACACUGGCAGUUCAAGGUCCUGUGUUUUGGCCUGUGCAACGCUCCAGCUACUUUUGAGCGUUUGAUGGACAGGGUGCUGGAUGGCAUCCCCGACAGCAGUGUCUGGUAUACGGUAUGAGUAAUUUAGGAGGGCAACUUUAUAAAGGCCUCCUCACAAUGGCCUUAUCAUACAAGGCUCUAUAGACAGAUUUAAAAAUACAUAGGCUAUUUUUGCGUUGAUGAUGUCUGUAUUGAAGUCAAGUGGUUCAACAUUCAAGUGUAUUUUAUUGACAACAUAGAACUGCUUGUACAAGGCGACGGUCGGUGGAAGUCUGGCGCCACCAAGUGGACAAUUUGUUUUGUUCCCUUGUGGCAUCAACGCUUCCUGAGAUAUUUUAUAAAAGAUAAAAUGUUAUGUCAAUAUUAUUAUCUGCAAAUUGUUUCUCCCACCCGUAUUUGAUAGAUUAUUAUUCCAAUUUAGCUGUAAAUCUGGUUUUAACUCAAUAAGGAUCUGUCUAGUUUCCGAUUGGAGGGCGGAUGACCGCGUGACUUUGUAUCCUACCAAUGUGUUACAUUGUAUCAGUGAAAAGUGUCUUUUCCCGACGUUGAUCAAAUCCCGAUCUAUGCCACCAUUUUUUAACAGCAUCAUAAUCUUUGAUAUUUGAUGUAAAGUUUACAGAGCUCAUUUUGCUGUAAGCGUUUCCGGAUUUGACGUGUCUGAGAACGGCACCUUCCUCCCGAAAGCAUUGCGGUAUCGCUUCUCGGCCUUUUGGCUAAGAUCAAGUGUAGUAUCUGUUCUUAUCAGUUUAAUAUCUGAUACGUCCCCUAUCUGGGGACCAUAUAUUAAAUUGAUUUUUGGAAUAGGGAGAUGGAAUAGGGGCUUGCUCCGUCCACUCCACGCAUCGACCUGGUAUUGCAGUACCUCCAGGAACGGUGCACC